This 3131-nucleotide long non-coding RNA is filed under the name Nicotiana benthamiana. RNAcentral describes it as "long non-coding RNA (NBEN_LNC030528)". Lineage: Eukaryota; Viridiplantae; Streptophyta; Magnoliopsida; Solanales; Solanaceae. The record is from RNAcentral.
CUAUACAUGACCAAAAUUAAAAGACAACAUAAGAUAUACUAAAAAAAUUAAGAAGUUUCCUGAAGCAGCUCGUGCCUGCAAUGGUCGUGACUAGAAUGGUCAUGGGGCAUUUGUAUCCAUACCUGAUGGAAAAGUAAAAUCAAAUAGAGUUAGUGACCGAAGACACAUGUGAUUCCACGACUCCUACUAGUGGAAAGAUGCAAGACACGAUUUGGCUAUAUUUUACAAAAUGACUUGAGUGAUUGAAAGUGGCUAUUAGUGCAAACUUGACAAAAUUGACCCCGUAAUGCAUGAAAAAUAAUCCAUUUAAAACUUGCAAGACUCAUUGACUGUAACAUAUCAACAAUCAUGGCCUUAAAAAAUGACUUUGCGAAAAUGGACCAUUUUGUAAAAAAGGCCUACAUGGCCAAAUGUGGCUAAAAAUGCAAACUCAAAAAGGAUGGAACUUAAAGUAAUAUGACAUCUAAUUGUGGUCUCAAGAUCCUAAGACAUGGGUUAUUGAAUCACUUUUGCGAAAAUGACCUCAUUUUGCAACAAUGGCCGAUAUCGCCACAAGUGGCUAGACAAGCAAGAUUUGGCUAAGACCCCGCAAAGCCAAGAACCUAAGACUAGGAAGACCGAAGCCUAUAUGGGUUGCCUAUGUAUUUCAUUCCGAAAGACGAGAAUCAGGUUUGCGUAGGUCGGGAAGAUUAAAUAUAGGAUAGAAUUCAAAAAAUGCAUCUAAUUUGAAAAAGAAAGUAUUUUAGUUUUUUUGGAAAAAAUGAUGGAAAAUGCAACAUCUUUUUCAUUUUCUGUUUCUUUUUUUUUUUUGAAAAAUGAUGGGAAAAUAUAAAACCUUUCAUUUGGAUUUUUUGGAAAAUAAUGGGAAAACGUAAAAGACUUUUUUGGAUUUUCUUUUCUUUUUUUUAUUUUGUUGCCCUUUUUAGAAGAUAAAGGAAAAGUGUAAAAAUAUUUUUGAAUUUUUUAUUUUUUGAAAAUAAAGAAAAAGUAUAAAAUCUUUUUUUGGAUUUUCAUUUUCUACUUUUUGAAUUUUGAAAAAUAAUAUAAAAUCUUUUUGGAUCUUUCAUUUUCUACUUUUUUCUUUGAAAAAUAAUGGAGGAGUGUAAAAUCUUUUGGAUUUUUCAUUUGUACUUUUUUUUGGAAUUUUUGAAAAAUAAUGGAAGAGUGUAAAAUCUUUUUGGAUUUUCUAAUUUUCAAAUUUUUUGAUUUUUGGAAAACUGUGAAAGAAAAAUGUGGGUGGGCCCUACUUUCUUUUUUUUUCACCCUUCUUUCCCAAACAUCGAUUCGCCAAAUGACGUUUUUACCCUCAAAGAUGCAACAUUUAGCACAUAGGAUGUGUAAAUGUCAUUUUGGGCCACUGACCCAUUUUGACAAAAUUUGGACAGGCUCCUUACAAAGGGACACUGUACCUAAGACCGAGCCCUACUAGGUAUGAAUGACAUGAUGCGUAUAAAAUGACCUAAAGGCUGACCUAAGUUUGGGGUUCACUAACAAGGCAAUUCGGGGCGGCACGUGGUCGAUGGCGGCUGCUCUAGCUGUCCGCCCAUUCCACGCUCCCACGCCACCCCCUUGAAGACACGGGUGACUCACAAAAAGACCGUGUCCGCUCAAACGUACUCCGGAACACUUGUUGUAGAAAGAAGACACAUGGUUAUGCACAAUGAUGAUAAUUUAUAAAGUAGUAACAGAUAAAAGAAAAACUGUAAACAAAUAAGCAGCUAGCAAAUAAUAAAAAGACAUAAACAAAACAAAAAUCAAAUAAAACAAACAAAACACAUAAAACCCUCAACCAAAAAUCCUAAAAGCCAACAAGAUCAAGUACUAGCUCGAACCCGCAAGUCCCCAGCAGAGAAGCCAGAGAUGUCACACCCGUUUUUAAUCAAAAAAACCCCACUAAACCCUCUUAUAAUUAAUAAAAGGAUUUAAAUAAAGUAUGAAAAGGGUUUUUCAAUUUUGAAAGUGACAAUAAUUUGUUUCAAAAUGGAAGAAACUCAGAGUCGCCACCUGGCAUUUGAUUUCGGUGUGCUAGGCCAUCGUUUUUUUAUAAAAAAAUUUCCUUUGAAAACACUUGAGACUCUAAAACUAAGUCCGCACCAGAGAUUCGGGUGAGGUGGUUCAUUUGACUCGGGGAGAAGGUGUUAGACACUCUCCAAGUCUCGUGAAGGUCACGGUUGCAUACUCGACUCAAUUGGCUUUUAGAAUAUUUGAAUUAAGAAAAACAAACAGAGAAAAGAAAAACAAACACACAAGAGGUCUGAGGUCGCUCCCGCCCAAUAAAAGGAAAAUAAAACCAUAACUAAAAAUACUAUGAGUUUCAAUUUAGGCCUCCAAAUACAAGUACUUCGGGGCAUUUCCCGGAAUAAGAUACGUACAAAUCCCUCGGGGCAUUCCCCCGAUAAAUUUAACUACAGAAACGACCUCUCGUCUCAAUACUAACAAAAAUCUUAAAGCUUGCCUUGCUAAGUGAUCGGCCUAAACACACAACUAGCGGACAAUAAAAAUAACCCAAAAUAAAAUAGAACUAAAUAAAAUUUAAAUUGAAUUCUUGUUCAUGUGUUAAGAACCUUAAAUGUUCUUCUAAUGAUCAAAAAGGUAAUAAUGCAAGAGUUAAACGUUUCUUUCCUUAGCAUUUCAAUUCCCACUAUACAUUUUCAAUUAAUCACCACUGUCUGACUUCUCUUUCGUCCUAUGUCUCCAUAUUUUUCUUAAUCAACAAUAACAAAAGGGAAAUUAGUUCAAACUAAUGAGAAUCAAACGCAAAGAAUCAAACAACCAAACAUAAACUCACAAAUGCACGUUAAACUGAUAUCACAACAUAAAUAUGGAGAAUAAGAUUAGGUACGAUCCAUUAAAGGCAAGAAACAAAAAAAGGGUGAGAAAUUGACCUUAACGAGCAGAUCUCUCGAUCAAUUACAGCAACAACGUAUGAACAUGAGCGGGGACUCGAGUUCAACCGCAAAACCUUGAACGGCACGAACACGACAAAUUCGACGGAACUCUCAACCUCGCCGGAGAACACUUUUUUUUUAAUUCUGUCCAAAGCCGCCUAGAUUCCCUUCAUUUCUGUGGAUGUAUUGUGAUCGCCGGAAUUGGUUGGACGUUUAGAGUGAAGUUAGGGUGUUCUAAGGUGC